Molecule: long non-coding RNA, 457 nt
Organism: Eleginops maclovinus (Patagonian blennie)
Lineage: Eukaryota; Metazoa; Chordata; Actinopteri; Perciformes; Eleginopidae
Exons: 3
Source: RefSeq, a predicted model, not a curated record
UCAAUGUUAUUAGUGAACAGGAACUCAGCCGUAACAUGAUAAGCAGCUCGAGGUAAUGGCUAAGUAAACAUUGCUUGCUCUGCAACCCGGGCUCGUUCCGACACUUUCCUUGAUGUGCAAUGCAUCCUGGUACGCACACUGCAGGUGCUGCGGGAACAGCUGAUGGGAGGAAGUUAAUACUUUUAGUGGACAGAAGUGUCAGCAGGUUUGCAGACAGUCACACAGAAGACCCUGAUCCUAGAGCGGAGGUGGAAGCGUGCAGAGGAAGCUUCCUGCCUGCGUCACUUUUACAGACGGACAAGGAGCCACAGCUGGAACUGAUGAUAAAACUUGGACUCCACUUCGUAACAGUGAGAUCAAAGUCGCAGGAUUUCUAUUUUUAAAUGAUUGGACUCUGGCUUUCUUGUCACGACUGAGCUUGAGCGUCAAGAGGAAGUGUUUAUCCGAAGGAUGUCAU